AAAAUGAGAUCAAUUGCCCGAAUCUGCUCCUCUAAAGUUCCAGUCAAUGUCACCAGCCUAUCAUUCAACCCAUAAAAAUUAUUAUCCAGAGGAGAUAUCUUAAUGCCAGCUUGAGACUCUUCAAUAAAUGACUUUAUAAUAGAUCCUCCCCUCCCAAUUAUGCUACCACAAGAGCUAUUUGGAACAAUUAGUCUCACUUUUGUUCUUGUAUCAAAAUCAACACCAUCUUCAGCAU
This 235-nucleotide unclassified non-coding RNA is filed under the name Hevea brasiliensis (rubber tree). Lineage: Eukaryota; Viridiplantae; Streptophyta; Magnoliopsida; Malpighiales; Euphorbiaceae. The record is from RNAcentral.